This 1526-nucleotide long non-coding RNA is filed under the name Homo sapiens (human). RNAcentral's name for it is "HSALNT0395427". Lineage: Eukaryota; Metazoa; Chordata; Mammalia; Primates; Hominidae. The record is from RNAcentral.
AGGAAAGUGCUACGGCUCCGCACGCCUUCCCCCCACCACCCAGUGCCAUGGCUCCGCACGCCUUCCCACCACCCAGUGCCAUGGCUCCGCACGCCUUCCCCCCACCACCCAGUGCCAUGGCUCCACACGCCUUCCCCCACUCCAGUGCCACGGCUCUACAUGCCUUUUCCCCCCCAGUGCCACGGCUCCACAAGCCUUUUCCCAUCCUACAAUUGUCAUGUAUUUUUCAUGAAAUGAGUUAUUUGAAAGAAACUAAUAUUGUCCAAAAUAUAGAACUUCUUUUGGAAGUUUUGAAGAAUCUUGGACUCCAAGGGGCUCCUCUUUUGAAAGCUGUUCCCUUCUCUGACCACAGGGGCUGGGAGGGGCGUGCUAGGCCUGCACGGAGCCUGGGCGGGGUGUAGGAGGACCUGGAGGAGUGCUGGAGCCAGGCAAGCUGGGCUGCUACCAGGAACCCGAACCCCUCCAGACACCCCGGGAGAGGUGACCCACCUGCCCCUGUGCGCAAGUCACUGAAAGUUUUGGAGCCUGGUUUUCUUACCUGAGAAAUGGGGCUGAUGAUCGUCCUGACUGAUCGAUUGGACCACCCGGUACACCACUGGCCUCUCCGAUCCACAAGCUUCGAAAGCAUUUUCAUAUCAGGAUCCUGCAGAUGUGGUCAAGACAAGCACUGGGCUGGGCGGGGCCCAAGUCCAGGAACAGGCAUCCUCCUAAGAGGAAAGAGACCAACACGGUGCCAUGGGAGGCAGGCGAGGUUGGAGCAACGGCACAAGCCAGGGAAGCUGAGAGCAGCAGAUGCUGGGACAGGUGGCUAGGAGCCACCGGUGCACCCGGGGAGCACGCCCUUGCGAGGUGAUGAAAAACCUGCUGAAAUAGCACAGAGCAGCCCCUCCCGCGGUGGUUCAUAGCAUUCAUCCCCUGAGAGCCCACACAGGCCACACCACCGGCCCACAGAGGGGAAGCUGAGGCAGGAGCCUAAUGACUCGCCCCAGGCCUCAAAACGAUGUGCACUGGGGCUGUUUCCACUAUUAAGUCAACAAUCUCUGCAGUUUCUGCUUAAUGGUCUCAAUUAAGGUUCUCUUAAUAAAGAACAUUUGUGGAGAAGAUGGGUGGGGCUGACACAGUUCUGCGGUCCACAAUGCCUCUGAAUCCCAGUGAAAACAGGCUAGAGCCUUCUCAGCUCCCAAGGCACAACCAAAAUACAGACAGACAGGAGCGCCCCAGGGAAGGAGAACUGGCGUGGUGUCCACACAGGCAUCAGGAAGUGUGUGAGCCUGCGAAUGUGCACCUGUGUGCAUGUGGUGGCAUGUAGGUGGAAUGUAGGUGGCACGUGUGCAUGAAUCGAGUGCAUAUACAUGUGAAUGGUAUGUGUGCACAUGUAAGCAUAUGUAUGCCAUAUGCGUGUACACGUUGCAUGUGAGUAUAUGUAUACCAUGAGUGUGCACUGUGCAUGUGAGCAUAUGCAUGCUGUAUGUGUACACUGUGCAUGUGAGCAUAGGUGUACCGUGUGUGUGUGCACUGUGCAUGUG